RNAcentral lists this ribosomal RNA (2205 nucleotides) under Triticum aestivum (bread wheat). RNAcentral's name for it is "partial small subunit ribosomal RNA". The record is from RNAcentral. Lineage: Eukaryota; Viridiplantae; Streptophyta; Magnoliopsida; Poales; Poaceae.
GGUUCAUCGUGUACACCGGAAUGUGAUGAAAAUCUAAAGCCGGCUGUAGGUAUGACAUUCGAGAACAUGGAAGCCGUCGAGGAGUUCUACAAGGCUUAUGCACACAAUGUUGGCUUUUCAGUUCAAAUCGGUCAGAAGAGGACUGUGGAUAAUUUGGUGGUCUGGAGACGAUUUUUGUGUGCCAAAGCAGGUUUCAGAUCCAAGGCAGAGGAAGUCAAGAAGGUUGUGACCGGAAAUAAGCUAAGUAAGCAGAAGAAGACAAAGAUUACUAGAUGUGGUUGCGAAGCCAUGAUAACUGUCAGGCUUAUGCAGGGUGGCAUAUACUCAAUAAUAUAUUUUCAUGAAGAACACACACAUGAAUUUUUCACACCUAGCAAACAACAUUUAAUCAAGUCAAAUAGAUAAGUUAGUCAAAGGGCCAAGACCACUCUUUUCACAUGCCAUGCAGCUAGCAUUGGCACAUCGGGUGCCUUCCGAUUGCUCCGUAUUGGCGAGGGCGGAUUUGAGUUUGUGGGUUGCUCAAAAAGAGACUUCCAGAUUUAUCAUCAUAAUUUGAGAAGUUCUAUCAAGGAUUCAGAUGCUCAGAUGUUCAUUGAUAACCUCAAGAAAAGGAAGCAAAUCAACCCAGCGUUUUAUUUUGAUUACAUUCUUGAUGACAAAAAUCGUCUAACUCAUGUGUUCUGGGCAGAUGCUACUUGUAGAAAGAACUAUGCUAUAGCAGGAGACAUGGUGUCUUUUGACUCUACAUAUAGCACCAACCAGUAUAAUAUGAUAUUUUGCCCUUUCACAGGGAUAAACCACCAUAGGGGGUCUGUGUUCUAUGGUGCCGCCUUGAUUGUGAAUGAGAAGAUACCGUCAUACAAGUGGGUGUUCCAAACAUUCUUGAAAGCAAUGGAUGGAGUAGCACCCAGACUUAUAGUAACUGAUGAAGAUGCCAGCAUGAAGGCCGGCAUCGAAGAGGUUAUGCCGACAACCAUCCAUAGGUUAUGCAUGUGGCAUAUAAUGAAAAAGCUUCCAGAAAAGGUCGGUCCUUCUUUGAGAGAAGAUGAAGAUUUCUAUAAGGUUGUGAACGCGUGUGUAUGGGGCUCUGAAAAUCCAACUGAAUUUGAGGCAAAUUGGUCUUCUAUGAUUUCUAAAUUUGCUUUGGAGAACAAUGAGUGGUUUUCUCACAGAUAUGAAAUCCGUGAGUCAUGGAUACCGGCGUACUUCAGGGGUGUAUUCAUGGCUGAGAUUUUGAGAACCACUUCAUGGUCAGAGAGUGCUAACUCAUUUUUCAACCAUUUUAUUGGUUACAAGCAUGCUUUGGUGGAGUUUUGGAUUAGGAUUGGUACAGCCAUAGAAGAGCAGCGUCAGAAUGAACUUAAGGCUGACCAUGAAUGUUUUGAUUCGCUGCCUGAAUUGGUAACAUCAUGGGGCAUUGAGAAGCAUGCAAGUCUAUACUUCACACAUGAAGUCUUCUGAGCUUUUCAAAAGGAGGUACUUGCAGCUAGAGAUCAUUGCUUGAUUUAAAGCAUCUCACAGGAUGGUGAUGUCAAAACCACGGUUAUAGGUGGUAAUUACGGCAAGGCUAGAGAGGUUCAAUUCAACACAUCAUCCAUGAGUGCUCACUGCUCCUGCAUGUUGUUUGCGACACGUGGAAUUCCAUGCCGACAUAUCAUCUUGGUUUUGAGAGGUGCCAAGUUGAAUGAGCUCCCUAGUCAUUUUAUUUUGGAUAGGUGGAAAAAGGUAGUUAACAGGAGGGCUUUAUAUGAUAGCAGUGGCAAUUUGCUUGAGGAGAACGCGAAGUUGAUGUCAAUCAUCCUAGUAGACAAGAAGAAUUUGACGCACAUAUUGGUUGUAGUAUGCCUACUCAAAUUGACAUUCAUCCACCAACUGAUGUUCGUAUGAAGGGGAGAUGCAAAAGAAUUAGGGGUCACUCAGAUAAGGGGGGCACAACAAAAUAAGGAUUUUGGGAGCCAGAAGAAGAAGCCCCGCAUGUACCGGAAGUGUAAGGAGGUCGGUUUCCAACUAAAUAUGUCAACCUGCGGUUUCUUUUGCUUUGGUUCUGGACAAUAUGAUGGUUUUCUUUUGAUGGAAUACAAGAUGGAAUUUAGAGAUUCAACUAUCUUUGAAAUUAUAUCUUUAGAGUUUCAGUGUUGUCUUCUAGGAGCUUCAGUCUUGUCUUUAAUUUUUUGCUUUUUAUUUUCUCAAAUUGAAAUCCAGUAA